AAGGGGCAGCUAGUGGCAGGGCCUGAGAUGGGGUCAGGGAGCUGGUAACAUCUGGCAAAGCCACUGUCCCAUCAUGCAAAGUUAGAGACAGGUGGCGACUGAGACUGAAGACCAGCACCCCACCGAUGACUCAUAUCCCAGAUUCCCAGGGAGAACCAAUGUGGAAAUGCAUUGAGGGUGAAUCGGCCUGACCUCACCAAUGUUACCAAGAAUCUCUGGAAGGAAAUAUCUGAUAUAGUGAAACCUAAGUACACACCAGACAGGGCUUCUGCUUGAUGGAACCAAGCUUCAAAGUGGUGGGCUGGGAUUGGAGCGGACACUUCACUUCUGAGAAUCCGUGGACCCAGAAGAGAACAAUGGAUGACUUCUAUCUCCAAAGGUGUAGCACUGUCACCCGGAAGUGGUGGACUUCUCACCGAGCAGGACUUGUUAGAGAAGAGAGGCCAAUGGCUCAACACGGAGGCUGCUGCUGUGUGUCUCACUGCAGACGGGAUUACUCGUGACAGAAAUGAGCAACGAGGGUCUCAGUCCAGUAUCUUGGCUCCUCCUUGGCUCCUGGUCAGCCUCAUGGGUAUCUGACCUGCGGUCAUACAGGGCCCUGUGCUCAGACGGACUCUGUGCUUGAUUUAAAAUU
This is a long non-coding RNA of Tupaia belangeri chinensis (Chinese tree shrew), 634 nucleotides long. RefSeq lists it as uncharacterized. The record is from RefSeq and is a predicted model, not a curated record. The transcript has 3 exons. NCBI's taxonomy places the organism in Eukaryota, Metazoa, Chordata, Mammalia, Scandentia, Tupaiidae.